AGCUCCAGUAGCGUAUAUUAAAGUUGUUGCAGUUAAAAAGCUCGUAGUUGGAUUUCUGGCGCGGGUCGCCUGGCCCGCCGCCCUUCCGGGCGGUGAGUGCCGGCGCGGCCCUGCCAUCCUUCCAGAGAGGCCGCCUACCCUUCACUGGGCCCGGGCGGUCGAUCUGGAUCGUUUACUUUGAAAAAAUUAGAGUGUUUAAAGCAGGCUUACGCUUCUGAAUACAUUAGCAUGGAAUAAUGAGAUAGGACUUUGGUUCUAUUUUGUUGGUUUCUAGGACUAAAGUAAUGAUUGAUAGGGACAGUUGGGGGUGCUAGUAUUUGGCGGCCAGAGGUGAAAUUCUUGGAUUCGCUAAAGACUAACUAAUGCGAAAGCAUUCACCAAGGAUGUCUUCUUUAAUCAA
Molecule: ribosomal RNA, 400 nt
Filed under: phytoplankton environmental sample
Lineage: Eukaryota
Description: partial small subunit ribosomal RNA
Rfam family: Eukaryotic small subunit ribosomal RNA
Source: RNAcentral